Molecule: RNA transcript, 1999 nt
Organism: Quercus lobata
Lineage: Eukaryota; Viridiplantae; Streptophyta; Magnoliopsida; Fagales; Fagaceae
Gene: FHY1
Gene name: Haloacid dehalogenase-like hydrolase (HAD) superfamily protein
Exons: 7
Source: RefSeq, a predicted model, not a curated record
CCAAACCCAUCUGAUCCAUUUCAUGAUAAUGGCUCUCACAAUGAAAGUACCACAUCCAACAACCAUGUGGUUUCCUCUAAAACGAACUUCACUCUCAUCAUAUUCAUAUCCAUACCAAAAACCAAUGAAAACGUCCUUAAUAAAUCUCAAAACCAAUACCAAUGCCUCUUUCACUGUCUCAGCAGCAGCCCAAGGUACCAAUAGAAAGCUCCCCAUAUUGCUUUUUGACAUCAUGGACACCAUUGUUCGCGACCCUUUUUACCAUGAUGUCCCUGCCUUCUUCGGGAUGCCGAUGAAGGAAUUAUUAGAAUGCAAGCACCCAACUGCAUGGAUUGAGUUUGAGAAGGGGAUGAUUGAUGAGGUGGAACUAGCCAGAAAAUUCUUUAAAGAUGGAAGAUCUUUUGAUUUGGAAGGUCUCAAAAAUUGUAUGAAAAGAGGAUAUUCCUACAUAGAAGGUGUUGAAGAAUUGCUUCAUGCUUUAAAACAAAACUGCUAUGAAAUUCAUGCUUUCACUAACUAUCCAAUAUGGUACAAUAAGGUUUUUAUUUUUAUUUUAUUUAUAUAUUUAAAUAUAUAUAUAUAUAUAUAUAUAUCCAGUGAAGUGGUCAUCUUAAGUUUAAUAAAAUUUUUUUGCAGGUACAAAAUGAUUGAGGACAAGUUAAAAAUUUCAAGAUAUUUAUCUUGGACAUUUUGCUCAUGUUCAAGUGGAAAGAGGAAGCCUGAUCUUAACUUCUAUUUGGAAGUUUUAAACCUUCUUAAAGUUAAUCCAGCAAACUGUAUCUUCAUUGAUGACAGGUUGAGAAAUGUAGAGGCUGCUGUGGAAGUUGGCAUCAUUGGUCUACAUUUCAAGAAUGCACACUUGCUUCGUCAAGAUCUCUCUUCAAAGGGAAUCGACAUUUUAGAAGAUAAAAUUCAAGAACAGUCGUCUUGAUUUCUAACUUCUUAUAACUCUCAUCAUUUGAAUAUUUACCAUUGUUAAAUGGCUCUAUGGUGCUUCUUCUUUCAUCAUUAUUCUUUUUGUUUUUGUUUUUUUAAAAAAAAAAUUAAUUCUCGGGGUUGUUGAUCAUUGGAAGAGAUAAAAAUUGCAGUGAAUGAUUCUUUGUAAAAUCGAUAAUGGAGUCCUAAUCCUUCAAUAAAUUUCACUUUUUCUUUGGUGCUUCACUCUUAAAUUCUUAGUGAAAGGGUGACAACUGCGGUGAAUGAGGUGUUUAAACUAUAAAAGAUGGCAUAGUUGCUACAACAUAAUUUUUUGCAAAAUAAUAUUAGGAGAGAUUGCACUUUACCUACAUGUGAUUUGGCCCAUUUUAACAAAGCUCACUCAUGGUUUAAAAUUUAUCACUUAACCCACCUGAAAUGAUCUCUGUUAGACACCCAUUACCCACUUUUGUCAUUUCUGUUAGAAAAUCCCCUUUAUUAUAUAAGCCAAAAUUAGAACCCAAAUAGAAUUCCCCAAAAAGAACAAGCUCUCUCUCUCUCUACUUCAGAAUCCCUAAAAAUCCCCAAACCCAUUAUCCCUUUCUCUCUUUACUUCGAUUGCCUAAGUGAAAUCUAAACAUAUCUUCUUCAAGUUAUUACUCGGUUUUGUUGGUUUUCUUUUUGGUUGGCUUUAUGAAUGAUCCUAAUUUGAAUUUGUUUGUAGGAUAAUGAACCUACUUGUAAAUACUUUAAGUGGUUGGAUGGCAAAACAUACGUGUGGGUCUGAAGUUGCACCCAUUGUCCUUACAAGAAUCAAUAUGUACAAGAAUUAGGCAAGAGUCGCACAGGAAAAGGAAAAUGAGGAUGGGAGAAUUGGGAACAAAGCCAUUGAGUCUACCUUGAAGGCAAGUUGUUGUAAUUAUUGUGUAAUUUUGGGUAUUACCACUUUUGGCAAUAUGUUAUAUUGAUAUCACUUUUGGCAAUGUGCUGUGUUGAUAUCACUGUUGCGAGAAUAGAGUAUGUAAAUUGUUCUUGUUUAUGUAAUAUGUAAUGUGUAACUAAUAUGUAAUGUGUUCUUGUUUAU